CCUACGGGAGGCUGCAGUGGGGGAUAUUGCACAAUGGGGGGAACCCUGAUGCAGCGACGCCGCGUGGGUGAAGAAGCGCCUCGGCGCGUAAAGCUCUGUCAGCAGGGAAGAAAAUGACGGUACCUGACGAAGAAGCCCCGGCUAACUACGUGCCAGCAGCCGCGGUAAUACGUAGGGGGCAAGCGUUAUCCGGAUUUACUGGGUGUAAAGGGGGCGCAGACGGCGAUGCAAGCCAGGAGUGAAAGCCCGGGGCCCAACCCCGGGACUGCUCUUGGAACUGCGUGGCUGGAGUGCAGGAGGGGCAGGCGGAAUUCCUGGUGUAGCGGUGAAAUGCGUAGAUAUCAGGAGGAACACCAGUGGCGAAGGCGGCCUGCUGGACUGCAACUGACGUUGAGGCCCGAAAGCGUGGGGAGCAAACAGGAUUAGAUACCCCAGUAGUC
RNAcentral lists this ribosomal RNA (440 nucleotides) under uncultured bacterium. RNAcentral describes it as "partial 16S ribosomal RNA". It matches the Rfam family "Bacterial small subunit ribosomal RNA", at positions 338 to 795 of the family's 1533-position model. The record is from RNAcentral.